CCUGUAGCUCAGUUGGUAGAGCAUGAUGUUUGCAAUGCCAGGGUUGUGGGUUUGAUUCCCACCGGG
Non-coding RNA from Salmo salar (Atlantic salmon), 66 nucleotides. The record is from Rfam. Lineage: Eukaryota; Metazoa; Chordata; Actinopteri; Salmoniformes; Salmonidae.